RNAcentral lists this long non-coding RNA (1222 nucleotides) under Theobroma cacao (cacao). RNAcentral's name for it is "long non-coding RNA (TCAC_LNC006018)". Lineage: Eukaryota; Viridiplantae; Streptophyta; Magnoliopsida; Malvales; Malvaceae. The record is from RNAcentral.
UUGUUUAUUAUUUUUCAAUUUAAUUGAUUAAAUGCUAAGAAAUCUUAUUUGUCUCCAAAUUUGGUAAUUUUCCUCUUUGGCUCGGAUUGUUGAAUUUGGGAGCUAAGAUUCAUGCAAUUUAGCUGCUAAGGUUUGGGUUAGCUCAUUAAUAAAGGAUUUGAGCUUAAAUAGUUGGAUUGCUACGAAUUAGUUGAUUAUGUAAAAGUUGGCCUUCUUUUCUAUAGCAAGGAAUAAUUAAUAUUUGAUGUUUUGAUGCAUUUGAAAGGAGAAACAAAGGUAAAUCAACUUGUUGGUGAACUAACGAAUGAUUGAAGGCUGAGGAUCGAAACUUCGCUGAGAGUACCUCCAAUUUGUCAUUGUGAGUGAGAUUUAAGUUAAAUGCAUGUGACGCAUAGUGCACAAUAGGUGUGUUGCCAUGGUAUUGGAAUGUGUGUAUGUAUGUACAUGUAUAUCUAUGAUUACCUAGAUGUAAGUGCCUAGGCUAGAAAACCAAACUAUGACAUGUGUGUUUGUGUCAAAUAAUGUGAGCCAUAUGGGUGGUUUACUCUUUGUGUGCCUAGACUAGGAUGUCUAGAGGCUAUAAUGAUUCCUACGAAUAAAUUUCCCUAGGCGAAGGAUAUGUUAAAGGGAUUUGAUCUAAUGAUGCCUUGGAGAUUUAGUGGCAUUUAGAACCUAACUAAGCUUAAAGACGAUUGAAGCUUGAUAAAUGUAAAUUGAGGUUUGAUGAGGUAAAAUGUGAAUGAUAAAGGCAUGAUGGCCUUAUUUGUGGAUAUUUGUUUCCGUCCAAGGGAUGAAUUUUGAACAUUGAUCUGAUUUGUGGAUGAGUGGAGUUUCAUUCCCCUGUGACUAUAUGUGUGCCUUCAGGGAUGGUGGUAAGCAGGGACGAUGGCUUUAAUCCCACCUGUGAUUCCUUCCUAUAGUGUUUUAAUGCCACCUAUCUGAGAUUACUCCAGGUGAUGCCGACCGUCAAGAGAUUACUCCGAUCAAUGAUUUGAAUCUUCUUUAGCAGCUUCAAUGUUGUGCGUGAUUGGAUUCUCCACUAAUUGCUUCGGCACUAUAUGUGAUUUGUUUUCCACCCGUUGCUUUAGCAUGUGAGUGAUUUGUGCUCCUCCAGUGGCUUUGCUCUAAGCGUGAUUUGAUUCUCCACCUGAUAGCCACUAUGUGUGAUUUGAGUAUGUCUAGGGAAAGAACACUCAAUGAUUUAAUUGGAUAUGUAUAUAAG